AACGAACGCUGGCGGCAGGCCUAACACAUGCAAGUCGAGCGAGGACUUCGGUCCUAGCGGCGGACGGGUGAGUAACGCGUGGGAACGUGCCCUUUGCUUCGGAAUAGCCCUGGGAAACUGGGAGUAAUACCGGAUGAGCCCUUUGGGGGAAAGAUUUAUCGGCGAAGGAUCGGCCCGCGUUGGAUUAGGUAGUUGGUGGGGUAAUGGCCUACCAAGCCGACGAUCCAUAGCUGGUUUGAGAGGAUGAUCAGCCACACUGGGACUGAGACACGGCCCAGACUCCUACGGGAGGCAGCAGUGGGGAAUCGUAGACAAUGGGGGAAACCCUGAUCUAGCCAUGCCGCGUGAGCGAUGAAGGCCUUAGGGUUGUAAAGCUCUUUCAGCUGGGAAGAUAAUGACGGUACCAGCAGAAGAAGCCCCGGCUAACUCCGUG
RNAcentral lists this ribosomal RNA (433 nucleotides) under uncultured bacterium. RNAcentral describes it as "partial 16S ribosomal RNA". It matches the Rfam family "Bacterial small subunit ribosomal RNA", at positions 29 to 507 of the family's 1533-position model. The record is from RNAcentral.